GGCUACAUCAUGUUGAGACACCGGUUCGCGUACGAUCACCGAAGAUAAGCAACGUUGUUUUUGAUCAGUACUUAGAUGGGUGGCCGCUUGGAAAUGCCA
Acanthosepion pharaonis is the source of this 99-nucleotide non-coding RNA. Lineage: Eukaryota; Metazoa; Mollusca; Cephalopoda; Sepiida; Sepiidae. The record is from the annotation of a GenBank genome assembly.